RNAcentral lists this long non-coding RNA (852 nucleotides) under Rattus norvegicus (Norway rat). RNAcentral's name for it is "long non-coding RNA NONRATT008467". The record is from RNAcentral. Lineage: Eukaryota; Metazoa; Chordata; Mammalia; Rodentia; Muridae.
GGUAAACUGUCUUGAGCCCCAUCCUCACCUACCUGUUUUGGCAACCAGUGGCCUAGACCAUGAUGUGAAGAUCUGGGCACCAACAGCAGAAGCCUCCACUGAGCUAACAGGGUUAAAGGAUGUGAUCAAGAAGAACAAGCGAGAGCGGGAUGAGGACAGCUUGCAUCACACUGACCUGUUUGAUAGUCACAUGCUGUGGUUCCUUAUGCACCACCUGAGACAGAGACGCCAUCAUCGGGUAAGCUUCAGUUGGAAGUGAGCUCCCACGGACUGUGCUCCUUCACAGAAAGCUGAAAGUUUCAUGGCACACUUCCUUACUGCUUUACAGAGGAAUGGAGUGGUCUUGGUCGGGUGUCCCACCCACUGGCCUUUACCCGCAUGAGAGGAACUAGUAGAAAGGAGGUGGUGUGUGAUUUGUCCUGUCACCGUAUAUGCAGAGGGCUAGCUUAUGGAGGGUGGGGAGAGUAGAGAAGAAACCACUGCUCGGGUGACUGUGUUAACUGUCAUGUUAAAAGAGGUCUAGGGCAGGUCUCAAACAAACACAUUAUUAUUGAGAAUGCAGCCAUACUAUUUUUUUUGUAUUACCUCGGGCUGCUCACAUGGUGCAGAGACAGCUGAACAGUUCCAACAAAGACCACAUGGCCUAAAAGAUUUCCUGUCUGGCCUUUUAAGGAAAAUCUGAGCCAGGUACAGUAGUAAGCACCAUAAGCCUGGCUACCAGGGAGGCUGGGGUAGGAUUGGUAGUAACCAGGUCACCCUGAGUUUUUUAAUUUAGGGGAAAAAAAAACCUUCUGUUGACCCCUGACUCAAUCUAGAUCUAACAGUUUUGUCCUUGAUCCAGGGACAUUACUA